GAGUUUGAUCUGGCUCAGGAUGAACGCUAGCGAUAGGCUUAACACAUGCAAGUCGAGGGGCAUCACGAGGUAGCAAUACUUUGGUGGCGACCGGCGUACGGGUGCGUAACACGUAUGCAACCUUCCUGUAAGUGUGGGAUAGCCUCCUGAAAGGGAGAUUAAUACCUCAUGAUAUGUAUUUGCUGCAUGGCAUUUACAUUAAACAUUUAUGGCUUACAGAUGGGCAUGCGUUCCAUUAGGCAGUUGGUGUGGUAACGGCUCACCAAACCUACGAUGGAUAGGGGUUCCGAGAGGAAGGUCCCCCACACUGGAACUGAGACACGGUCCAGACUCCUACGGGAGGCAGCAGUGAGGAAUAUUGGUCAAUGGGCGCGAGCCUGAACCAGCCACGUCGCGUGAAGGAUGACGGCCUUAUGGGUUGUAAACUUCUUUUACAGGGGAAUAAAGUGAGUCACGUGUGAUUUUUUGCAUGUACCCUGUGAAUAAGCAUCGGCUAACUCCGUGCCAGCAGCCGCGGUAAUACGGAGGAUGCGAGCGUUAUCCGGAUUUAUUGGGUUUAAAGGGUGCGUAGGCGGGAUAUUAAGUCAGCGGUGAAAGUUUUCGGCUCAACCUUAAAAUUGCCGUUGAAACUGUUAUUCUUGAGUGCAGUAGAGGUAGGCGGAAUUCGUUGUGUAGCGGUGAAAUGCGUAGAUAUAACGAGGAACUCCGAUUGCGUAGGCAGCUUACUAUAUUGCUACUGACGCUGAGGCAC
This 751-nucleotide ribosomal RNA is filed under the name uncultured bacterium. Its description in RNAcentral is "bacterial SSU rRNA". It matches the Rfam family "Bacterial small subunit ribosomal RNA", at positions 9 to 754 of the family's 1533-position model. The record is from RNAcentral.